Molecule: ribosomal RNA, 279 nt
Filed under: uncultured bacterium
Lineage: Bacteria
Description: partial 16S ribosomal RNA
Rfam family: Bacterial small subunit ribosomal RNA
Source: RNAcentral
UGCCAGCCGCCGCGGUAAUACAGAGGGUGCGAGCGUUAGCCGGAAUUACUGGGCGUAAAGAGCACGUAGGUGGAUAGGUAAGUUGGAUGUGAAAUCCCCGGGCUUAACCUGGGACGGUCAUUCAAAACUGCCUGUCUAGAGUACAGUAGAGGAAAGUGGAAUUUCCGGUGUAGCGGUGAAAUGCGUAGAUAUCGGAAGGAACACCAGUGGCGAAGGCGGCUUUCUGGACUGAUACUGACACUGAGGUGCGAAAGCGUGGGGAGCAAACAGGAUUAGAUA